GCUGAAGAACGCAGCGAAAUGCGAUAAGUAAUGUGAAUUGCAGAAUUCAGUGAAUCAUCGAAUCUUUGAACGCACAUUGCGCCCCUUGGUAUUCCGAGGGGCAUGCCUGUUCGAGCGUCAUUAUAACCCCUCAAGCUCAGCUUGGUGUUGGGGCCUGCUGCACUGGCAGCCCUUAAAAUCAGUGGCGGCGCCAUCUGGCUCUAAGCGUAGUAAUUCUUCUCGCUAUGGAGUCCUGGUGGAUGCUUGCCAUCAAACCCCAAUUUUUCUAUGGUUGACCUCGGAUCAGGUAGGGAUACCCGCUGAACUUAAGCAUAUCAAUAAGCGGAGGA
This 329-nucleotide unclassified non-coding RNA is filed under the name soil metagenome. RNAcentral describes it as "partial contains 5.8S ribosomal RNA, internal transcribed spacer 2, and large subunit ribosomal RNA". The stretch from base 3 to 120 matches the Rfam family "5.8S ribosomal RNA", at positions 37 to 154 of the family's 154-position model. The record is from RNAcentral.